GACGUAGGGCGCGAGCGUUGUCCGGAUUUAUUGGGCGUAAAGAGCUCGUAGGCGGCUUGUUGCGUCGACUGUGAAAACCCGCGGCUUAACUGCGGGCUUGCAGUUGAUACGGGCAGGCUAGAGUUCGGUAGGGGAGACUGGAAUUCCUGGUGUAGCGGUGAAAUGCGCAGAUAUCAGGAGGAACACCGGUGGCGAAGGCGGGUCUCUGGGCCGAUGACUGACGCUGAGGAGCGAAAGCGUGGGGAGCGAACAGG
This 254-nucleotide ribosomal RNA is filed under the name uncultured bacterium. RNAcentral describes it as "partial 16S ribosomal RNA". It matches the Rfam family "Bacterial small subunit ribosomal RNA", at positions 524 to 776 of the family's 1533-position model. The record is from RNAcentral.